This 719-nucleotide long non-coding RNA is filed under the name Helianthus annuus (common sunflower). Its description in RNAcentral is "sRNA HanXRQr2_Chr12g0541771". Lineage: Eukaryota; Viridiplantae; Streptophyta; Magnoliopsida; Asterales; Asteraceae. The record is from RNAcentral.
AGUGGUGGUGGCAACGGGUGAAUCAGUUUUGGAACAAACACCAAUCCCCUGCCGAUCACUAGUAAAGGUCCAGCAUUAUUAGCAGUCCCUAAAUCCAAUUAGCACAAUUAAACUAUUCAUUAAGACAAACAACCAAUGCACUGAACCAGAAAAAAACCAAAACUUACCACAAUAGUUUGUCGCAGAGAAAAGGGUAAUUAACUGUCCGUGAACAAAUCGCUCGAACCCAUUCAUUACACAUUCGUGUGCUCUUAUAAUCAACUAAAGUUUGUUUCUAUUACAGAUGUCUGUAACCCUGUCAGGCUGCAAGUAGUUACAAUUCAUUAUGGUAUAUCAAAGAUCACAGAAUGGGUGACCAGUGGGUCAUAUUGAGUUCCGCAUGUUGGUACCUUGAUGACGGUGAAACUCCAGGUGCAAGAGUCCAUACACAUAAACGCUAUAAAACAUACACAUAAACGCUAAGUCCUACCACGCCUGAAGUGUCUCUUCCACCACAAAGCAAAAACAUACCAUCCGAGCGAGCACCAGCUGUAGCAUACCUGAGAAGAGUAAAAUACAAACAGAUUAACAUGCAUAUAAUGCACAAGUAAAGCUACAAUGUAUAAAUAUAACAUCAUUAUAAACUCUUCAUACAGAGCCACUUGACAAGCUCCAAUACUGUACUCGCAAUUUAAAUACAUCCUUACAUUCUAGCUGAAGGUUUAUCUCCUUCUGUAUUC